This is a long non-coding RNA of Solea senegalensis (Senegalese sole), 1031 nucleotides long. RefSeq lists it as uncharacterized. The record is from RefSeq and is a predicted model, not a curated record. The transcript is spliced from 3 exons. NCBI's taxonomy places the organism in Eukaryota, Metazoa, Chordata, Actinopteri, Pleuronectiformes, Soleidae.
GAUGCUCACACUUACGGCAUUGGACCGUGAAGUCUUUGGACUUCUGAACAUGGGGUGACAAAUACAGUACGAGCCAGACACGUUGCACUUUAUAACUGCAUGAUGCCUGACUUGAUGAUGAACUUAAUUCACGUACUGACAGAUGUGUCAAGGGAUGAUUCAUUCAUGGUAUUUGUGAUAGAAAAAACAUGCCUUGUAGCAGACAAUCGGUACAUUGGGGACCCAGGUGGUGCAGCACGGCCUCAUCUCGGGGGCUGAUUAGCUUGGCAGUGAGCGGUAACCAGUGGGGCACCGGCUUCCGAGCACCCAGUCAGGGUUUUUCAGGGCCAGGUCAUACUUAACAUGUUUCCGCUUCUGUAAGAGCGACUUUGCAUUUCCGCAUGUGCGUACAAGCCGCACGGUUCCAUUCAUGCAAAAAGUCUAGCAUUACACGCAUGGGUACAGCAACAGUCGACAUAGCCAACCAAAUACAACUAUUUGGAAUCCUCUUAUUGUUCGUUUUAUCCAUUUCUAUAGUGUUUAAUGACUCGAACAGAGUGCUCCAUCACACAAAUAAAGGAUCUUUGGUGAUACCUGGCAGUGCUGUGGGGGUGGAGGAGGAGAGGCACCAGAUAUUCCUCCUCCAUUAUUUCCUCCCUGCAUGGACUACAUUCAUCACUGACCAGUUGGAAUUAGGAAUGCCACUAUGUGACACGACACCACAGAUAUUUCUCUUUGGCAUGCUAAGAUAAUGAGUCAGACUACAACUGCCGUAGUCACCACGUGUCACCGGUGUAACAAAUGUGCCCCGGGGGCAACUUGCCAGAGACGUUAGUGCAGUCAGUCCCUGCCUCCCUGGUCUGUGAAGCCCGUGGCUCUGACAUCAUCGUCACCAUCAUCAUCAUCAUCACUACCAGCAACUGAUGUGCAGAAAAUCCUCCACUCAUCUGCAGAUCUUGCAAACAAAAACAGAAGCAGAACAAGAACAAGAGCAAGAGUACAAAACAUUUGUCUGUCAGUGUGUAACCAAAUAAAGAUGCACUCAUGGGAAA